GUAUCCCUACCGGAAGGUGGGGAUGGAUCACCUCCUUUCU
RNAcentral lists this ribosomal RNA (40 nucleotides) under Hazenella coriacea. Its description in RNAcentral is "partial 16S ribosomal RNA". The record is from RNAcentral. Lineage: Bacteria; Bacillati; Bacillota; Bacilli; Caryophanales; Thermoactinomycetaceae.